RNAcentral lists this ribosomal RNA (571 nucleotides) under Fusarium sp. LH60. RNAcentral describes it as "eukaryotic LSU rRNA". The stretch from base 205 to 358 matches the Rfam family "5.8S ribosomal RNA". Lineage: Eukaryota; Fungi; Ascomycota; Sordariomycetes; Hypocreales; Nectriaceae. The record is from RNAcentral.
UGGAAGUAAAAGUCGUAACAAGGUCUCCGUUGGUGAACCAGCGGAGGGAUCAUUACCGAGUUUACAACUCCCAAACCCCUGUGAACAUACCUAUACGUUGCCUCGGCGGAUCAGCCCGCGCCCCGUAAAACGGGACGGCCCGCCCGAGGACCCCUAAACUCUGUUUUUAGUGGAACUUCUGAGUAAAACAAACAAAUAAAUCAAAACUUUCAACAACGGAUCUCUUGGUUCUGGCAUCGAUGAAGAACGCAGCAAAAUGCGAUAAGUAAUGUGAAUUGCAGAAUUCAGUGAAUCAUCGAAUCUUUGAACGCACAUUGCGCCCGCCAGUAUUCUGGCGGGCAUGCCUGUUCGAGCGUCAUUUCAACCCUCAAGCUCAGCUUGGUGUUGGGACUCGCGGUAACCCGCGUUCCCCAAAUCGAUUGGCGGUCACGUCGAGCUUCCAUAGCGUAGUAAUCAUACACCUCGUUACUGGUAAUCGUCGCGGCCACGCCGUAAAACCCCAACUUCUGAAUGUUGACCUCGGAUCAGGUAGGAAUACCCGCUGAACUUAAGCAUAUCAAUAAGCGGAGGA